GAUGAACGCUAGCGGCAGGCCUAAUACAUGCAAGUCGAACGGGAUCUGAGGGUAGCUUGCUACCCGAUUUGAGAGUGGCGCACGGGUGCGUAACGCGUGAGCAACCUACCCAUAUCAGGGGGAUAGCCCGAAGAAAUUCGGAUUAACACCGCAUAAUAAUACGCUAACACAUGUUGAUGUAUUUAAAUAUUUAUAGGAUAUGGAUGGGCUCGCGUGACAUUAGCUAGUUGGUAAGGUAACGGCUUACCAAGGCGACGAUGUCUAGGGGCUCUGAGAGGAGAAUCCCCCACACUGGUACUGAGACACGGACCAUACUCCUACGGGGGGCAGCAGUAAGGAGUAUUGGUCAAUGGGCGCAAGCCUGAACCAGCCAUGCCGCGUGCAGGAUGACUGCCCUAUGGGUUGUAAACUGCUUUUGUUAGGGAAUAAACCUUCUUACGUGUGAGGAGCUGAAUGUACCUAAAGAAUAAGGAUCGGCUAACUCCGCGCCAGCCGCCGCGGUAA
Molecule: ribosomal RNA, 504 nt
Filed under: uncultured bacterium
Lineage: Bacteria
Description: partial 16S ribosomal RNA
Rfam family: Bacterial small subunit ribosomal RNA
Source: RNAcentral